Molecule: non-coding RNA, 632 nt
Organism: Dipodomys ordii (Ord's kangaroo rat)
Lineage: Eukaryota; Metazoa; Chordata; Mammalia; Rodentia; Heteromyidae
Source: the annotation of a RefSeq genome assembly
CAUUUCAGUCUCUCAAGAUGAGAUGCCCUGCUCAGUUCCUGGGACUGCUGCUGCUCUGGAUCCCUGGAUCUUGUGGAGACAUUGUGAUGACACAGACUCCACCCUUGCUGUCCAUCAACCCUGAAGAGCCAGCCUCCAUUUCCUGCAAGUCCAGUGAAAGUCCCCUGUAUAGUGAUGGAAACACAUAUUUGAAUUGGUACCUGCAGAAGCCAGGACAGUCUCCACAACCCCUGAUCUAUACAGUUUCCAACCGAUUUACUGGGGUCCCAGACAGGAUCAGUGGCAGUGGGUCAGGCAUGGAUUUCACACUGACAAUCAGCAGGGUGAAGCCUGAGGAUGAAGGGGUUUAUUACUGCCAACAGAGUUCAAAAUACCCUCACACUUUGCUACAGCCCACAACAAAAACCUCCCUGCAUGGGGCAGCCCAGCUGUGCCCAUGUUCUGCUUGCCUGGGGACCAGCAGGGCAGAUUCUCUGGGUCUGUGUGCAAGGACAAGGUUGGGCAACUCAGAGGCACAAACUGCAGCUGAGGUCUCUGUCCCAUGGGGGCCUCAGCUACACUCAACGAAACCCAUUAUUGGAUCUAGAGGGGAUAUGAUGCUGCAGAAUCGGUCUUCUAUGCAUCACCCCUAA